This 301-nucleotide ribosomal RNA is filed under the name uncultured bacterium. RNAcentral describes it as "partial 16S ribosomal RNA". It matches the Rfam family "Bacterial small subunit ribosomal RNA", at positions 509 to 807 of the family's 1533-position model. The record is from RNAcentral.
CAGCCGCCGCGGGAACACGAAGGGUGCAAGCGUUACUCGGAAUUACUGGGCGUAAAGCGUGCGUAGGUGGUGGUUUAAGUCCGUUGUGAAAGCCCUGGGCUCAACCUGGGAAUUGCAGUGGAUACUGGACCACUAGAGUGUGGUAGAGGAUAAUGGAAUUUCCGGUGUAGCAGUGAAAUGCGUAGAGAUCGGAAGGAACAUCUGUGGCGAAGGCGACUAUCUGGGCCAACACUGACACUGAGGCACGAAAGCGUGGGGAGCAAACAGGAUUAGAUACCCGUGUAGUCCCUGUCUCUUAUAC